CUUUGAACUUAACCUCUCUGGUCUCCAGCUGUAGUUGUCUCCUGAUAUUUAUUGAUGGUUGGAAAUGACCAGUGAGUGUCCUUAGCUAUAAGGAAUGCUGGCUCCAUUUAGGAGCUCUUGCCGGACCUGCUGGUCAGGAAGCCACAGCAUCCACCUGGCUCUGCCGCUCUGGUGUUGAGAGUAAGAUGUGUCAUCACCACAGCUUUCAUAUGAACUCACCCUCGUGCCUGUGCGAGAGCACACUACCAACUCUACCAUCCUCCAGACUCUACAAUAAGAUCUUUAAACAUUAAAUACAAACUACUACAGAUAAGCUCACAUCUCCA
This is a long non-coding RNA of Mastomys coucha (southern multimammate mouse), 326 nucleotides long. RefSeq lists it as uncharacterized. The transcript is spliced from 2 exons. NCBI's taxonomy places the organism in Eukaryota, Metazoa, Chordata, Mammalia, Rodentia, Muridae. The record is from RefSeq and is a predicted model, not a curated record.